RNAcentral lists this ribosomal RNA (297 nucleotides) under uncultured Thiobacillus sp. RNAcentral describes it as "partial 16S ribosomal RNA". It matches the Rfam family "Bacterial small subunit ribosomal RNA", at positions 1080 to 1382 of the family's 1533-position model. The record is from RNAcentral. Lineage: Bacteria; Pseudomonadati; Pseudomonadota; Betaproteobacteria; Nitrosomonadales; Thiobacillaceae.
UUAAGUCCGCAACGAGCGCAACCCUUAUCAUUAGUUGCUACGCAAGGGCACGUCUAAUGAGACUGCCGGUGGACAAACCGGAGGAAGGUGGGGAUGACGUCAAGUCCUCAUGGCCCUUAUGGGUAGGGCUUCACACGUCAUACAAUGGUCGGUACAGAGGGUUGCCAAGCCGCGAGGCGGAGCCAAUCCCACAAAGCCGAUCGUAGUCCGGAUUGUUCUCUGCAACUCGAGAGCAUGAAGUCGGAAUCGCUAGUAAUCGCAGGUCAGCAUACUGCGGUGAAUACGUUCCCGGGUCUU